UACGUAGGUGGCAAGCGUUGUCCGGAUUUAUUGGGUUUAAAGGGUGCGUAGGCGGUCUUAUAAGUCAGUGCUGAAAUAUCCCGGCUUAACCGGGAGGGUGGCAUUGAUACUGUAGGACUUGAGUAAAGUUGAGGUAGGCGGAAUUGACAGUGUAGCGGUGAAAAUGCAUAGAUAUUGUCAAGAACACCAAUUGCGAAGGCAGCUUACUAAGUUAUAACUGACGCUGAGGCACGAAAGUGCGGGGAUCAAACAGG
Molecule: ribosomal RNA, 254 nt
Filed under: uncultured bacterium
Lineage: Bacteria
Description: partial 16S ribosomal RNA
Rfam family: Bacterial small subunit ribosomal RNA
Source: RNAcentral